UACGAAGGGGGCUAGCGUUGUUCGGAAUUACUGGGCGUAAAGGGUGCGUAGGCGGGUCUUUAAGUCAGGGGUGAGAUCCUGGAGCUCAACUCCAGAACUGCCUUUGAUACUGAAGAUCUUGAGUUCGGGAGAGGUGAGUGGAACUGCGAGUGUAGAGGUGAAAUUCGUAGAUAUUCGCAAGAACACCAGUGGCGAAGGCGGCUCACUGGCCCGAUACUGACGCUGAGGCACGAAAGCGUGGGGAGCAAACAGG
RNAcentral lists this ribosomal RNA (253 nucleotides) under uncultured bacterium. RNAcentral describes it as "partial 16S ribosomal RNA". It matches the Rfam family "Bacterial small subunit ribosomal RNA", at positions 524 to 776 of the family's 1533-position model. The record is from RNAcentral.